UUAACUAUUAUAUAGUACUCAGACAUUACUAAAAUUCAGAGUUGGAUCCUCUGGCGGGCACAUGCAGGCAGAGCCCACAGUGGAGGCCACGGCCCGCCAAAGCAACAAGAGUAUGUAGACACGGGUGGGAUUCACUCGGCCCCUAGCCUGAAGGCUAGGGCAUCAGUAUUCCGCGCGACUGGCAAUGCUGUGAGUUUAAGACAGCCCCACAGGGUCGAGUCAACGACGUCGCUGGGAUACACCGGUGAUCGUUUUUAAUGAUCCUUCCGCAGGUUCACCUACGGAAA
RNAcentral lists this unclassified non-coding RNA (287 nucleotides) under uncultured fungus. RNAcentral describes it as "sequence contains ITS1". The record is from RNAcentral. Lineage: Eukaryota; Fungi.